RNAcentral lists this transfer RNA (55 nucleotides) under Bradypodion transvaalense. Its description in RNAcentral is "tRNA-Cys". The record is from RNAcentral. RNAcentral also lists the same sequence under 1 other name. Lineage: Eukaryota; Metazoa; Chordata; Lepidosauria; Squamata; Chamaeleonidae.
AAGUCCAGGAUCUGUAACGACCUUAUUCGAAUUUGCACUUCGGGCUUUCUGGACU